AUUUUGGCAGAAUUAAAUGCAUUGGAUUUAGAAUUCAAUAAUAUAUAAUUAAUUUAUAUAGAUAAUAUAU
This 70-nucleotide transfer RNA is filed under the name Hydropsyche simulans. RNAcentral's name for it is "tRNA-Leu". The record is from RNAcentral. Lineage: Eukaryota; Metazoa; Arthropoda; Insecta; Trichoptera; Hydropsychidae.